UACUCGAGUGGCGAACGGGUGAGUAACACGUGGGUGAUCUGCCUUGCACUCUGGGAUAAGCUUUGGAAACUGGGUCUAAUACCGGAUAGGAACCGUCUUUAGUGUGGUGGUUGGAAAGUUUUUUCGGUGCAAGAUGAGCUCGCGGCCUAUCAGCUUGUUGGUGGGGUAAUGGCCUACCAAGGCGUCGACGGGUAGCCGGCCUGAGAGGGUGUACGGCCACAUUGGGACUGAGAUACGGCCCAG
This 243-nucleotide ribosomal RNA is filed under the name uncultured Actinomycetales bacterium. Its description in RNAcentral is "partial 16S ribosomal RNA". It matches the Rfam family "Bacterial small subunit ribosomal RNA", at positions 88 to 334 of the family's 1533-position model. Lineage: Bacteria; Bacillati; Actinomycetota; Actinomycetes; Actinomycetales. The record is from RNAcentral.